UACUGCAGUCGAGCGAAUGGAUUAAGAGCUUGCUCUUAUGAAGUUAGCGGCGGACGGGUGAGUAACACGUGGGUAACCUGCCCAUAAGACUGGGAUAACUCCGGGAAACCGGGGCUAAUACCGGAUAAUAUUUUGAACUGCAUGGUUCGAAAUUGAAAGGCGGCUUCGGCUGUCACUUAUGGAUGGACCCGCGUCGCAUUAGCUAGUUGGUGAGGUAACGGCUCACCAAGGCAACGAUGCGUAGCCGACCUGAGAGGGUGAUCGGCCACACUGGGACUGAGACACGGCCCAGACUCCUACGGGAGGCAGCAGUAGGGAAUCUUCCGCAAUGGACGAAAGUCUGACGGAGCAACGCCGCGUGAGUGAUGAAGGCUUUCGGGUCGUAAAACUCUGUUGUUAGGGAAGAACAAGUGCUAGUUGAAUAAGCUGGCACCUUGACGGUACCUAACC
Molecule: ribosomal RNA, 450 nt
Filed under: uncultured bacterium
Lineage: Bacteria
Description: bacterial SSU rRNA
Rfam family: Bacterial small subunit ribosomal RNA
Source: RNAcentral